This 299-nucleotide long non-coding RNA is filed under the name Rattus norvegicus (Norway rat). RNAcentral's name for it is "long non-coding RNA NONRATT011214". The record is from RNAcentral. Lineage: Eukaryota; Metazoa; Chordata; Mammalia; Rodentia; Muridae.
UUUCAGAAAAGACAUGUAAUAGCGAGAGCUAGAACCAAUGUUUUUGGCUGACGUUAAAAAACACUAUCUGCAAUGUCUGAGGAGGACAGACAGACGGAAGGCUAAGGACAACAGACAGUUCCAAGCGGUGGAUGCUAGCUCAGGCACAUAGAGCACUGCCCUCCGAGGGACAUACUUGUGAUUGGACAAGGAGCUGUACCCAGGCCUGCAGACACUGGCCACGAGGGAUGCCUUUCUGCAAGGGAAGUGACUAGGAUUAGUCCAAAAUGGAAUUCUGUAUUUAUAAAUUUGUGACCAAA